This 426-nucleotide long non-coding RNA is filed under the name Oryzias javanicus (javanese ricefish). RNAcentral describes it as "lncRNA (ENSOJAG00000020933.1)". Lineage: Eukaryota; Metazoa; Chordata; Actinopteri; Beloniformes; Adrianichthyidae. The record is from RNAcentral.
UUGACACAGGAAAGUGAUGAAAAUGACACCCAGAUAGAAGAGCAGAGAGGAGAGCCUCUUAUACUGACACAGGACUGGGAAGGUAUCACACAGAAAGCACUGCCUUUUAUACCAGCACAGGAAAACGAUGAUGAUGAUGCCAUCCAGACAGUAUUUGGAAUUGAACCAGUGGUACUGGCACAGGAAAACACUCAUGUUUCCAGCCAAGGACAAGAGGAAAGAGCAGAAUCUUUCACAAUGAGUUGUGCCUCUCAAGAAGUAGAUGCCCACUCCCGCGGACUAACAGCAAAGCAAAGCAUCAUCUCGAUUCUAUCCUUCGCAAUAAGACAUAAUACUACAGGUGUAUUGAUGGAAGAUCUGCUGAAUCUGCUCAAGUUACAUUCUGCUGGGACUGGUGCAGUUCCAACAAGCAAGUAUUUAUUGGAG